RNAcentral lists this long non-coding RNA (1528 nucleotides) under Ursus maritimus (polar bear). Its description in RNAcentral is "lncRNA (ENSUMAG00000015151.1)". Lineage: Eukaryota; Metazoa; Chordata; Mammalia; Carnivora; Ursidae. The record is from RNAcentral.
UAGUCCUGCAAGAUCAAUGAUAAACAAAUAGUACAUCGUGUGCCAGCGUGAGUGUGCCUGUGUGCGAGCUUGUGCGUAUAUGCGUGUGUGUGUGUGUAAGACUUAUAAGGGGCAGGAGGCAAGGGCUAUGAGGCUGGAGGGACAAAGAAUCUUUUAGACUGGAUUUUCAGGGAAGAUUUUCCAAGGAGGUAACAUCUUAUCCCCCUGUUCGCUUCCAUCCGUGUGACUGACGCAGACUCUAGCUUAGAUGGACCUUUUUUUUUCUGCGUCAGUUUCUGCUUUCCUCAUCCUCCCAUGGCUGCCAUCCAUUUCUAUAGAAAAAAACAAUUCUCUUCCCAUGCCUGCAGUACUUCAUGAAGCCACAAAGAAAAUCAAAUAGCUACAGCCAAGAGUCUGAGGGCCCCAGGAUACACACACAUACACGCACACGUGCGCACACACACACACACACACACACACUCCAGAGCCAUUUUUAUGUCAGUUAAGUGAAUAUUAUGAAGAUUAAAUGAGAUAAUGCUUUAAAAUAUUUUGUGCGGUGCUUGAUAACUAGUCAGUACUCAAUAAAUAUUAGAUAUUAUUAUUAUAAUCAAGGCCUUUAUUAUUAUCUCAUAGACAUUUGUAAAGAGCUUGCUGGAUGUCUAAUUCUUUGAAAUACUCCUAUUUAGGCAUCACAUUCUCCAAGUGCUUCCUGCGUGCAGAGCUGUGGUAGGUGCUGUGGGGACCAGCAGAGUACUGGAAAAGACAGAGCUCCUCUCUCUUCAUCGCUCAUGAGACAAAGCGAGCAGCACCAGUAUAAGAGAAAUGUGGAGGAACCUUCUCUUUACAAAGCAGCCUCAUCGGAAGCACCAGUGAAGACAGCCAAAUGAGAGACGCAGCUCUUUCAGGGAAGAUGAUUAAAAUGUUGUCUCCUAGACCAUUUCAUCUCUUAAUCAUAACUCUCCCUCCCGUGGAGAAGCAUAAAAUCUUGGAAACACAGUAGGAGGUCAUUCUGUUAUUUACCCACUUUGAAAAUGGGGAGAGGGGCGCCUGGGUGGCUCAGACAGUUAAGCGUCCAAUUCUUAAUUUUGGCUCAGGUCAUGAUCUCAGGGUUGUGAGGUCAGGCUCUGAGCUGGGGUGGAGCUUGCUUAAGAUUCUCUCUAUUCCUCUCCUUCUGCUCCUUCUCUCUCUCUCUCUCUCUCUCUCUCACUCUCUCCCUCUAAAAAAAAAAGGAGAAAAAAAGAAAAAGAAAAAAGAAAAAAAUAGGGGAGCUAACUUACCUACUAGACAAGAGUGAUGUUGGUUCAGGCUAGAUUCUUCAGUUGCCAGCCAACCCUGCCCUCCGACCCCCAGUCGGGCUCACAAUCCCGGCCUCCGAUGCCGCUCCGGAUGAAGGAGACUCGAGUGUACUGAUGAAUCCGCUCUAAGCGUUACCAUAACUUCACCAGACUGCCGCAGUGCUGCCCGCUCGGUUACCCCGGUGACAGCCCACACACUCUGUCUCCUCACACUCAGAAGCGUUCAUCAAUAAAACCAAGUUCAUUAUUACCCA